RNAcentral lists this ribosomal RNA (254 nucleotides) under uncultured bacterium. RNAcentral's name for it is "partial 16S ribosomal RNA". It matches the Rfam family "Bacterial small subunit ribosomal RNA", at positions 524 to 776 of the family's 1533-position model. The record is from RNAcentral.
UACGUAGGGUGCAAGCGUUGUCCGGAAUUAUUGGGCGUAAAGAGCUCGUAGGCGGUUUGUUGCGUCGGCUGUGAAAUCCCGAGGCUCAACCUCGGGUCUGCAGUCGAUACGAGCAAACUAGAGUGUUGCAGGGGAGACUGGAAUUCCUGGUGUAGCGGUGAAAAUGCGCAGAUAUCAGGAGGAACACCGGUGGCGAAGGCGGUUCUCUGGGCAUGUCCUGACGCUGAGGAGCGAAAGUGUGGGGAGCGAACAGG